CCUACGGGUGGCUGCAGUGGGGAAUAUUGGACAAUGGGCGAAAGCCUGAUCCAGCAAUGCCGCGUGAGUGAUGAAGGCCUUAGGGUUGUAAAGCUCUUUUACCAGGGAUGCAGUACCUGGAGAAUAAGCUCCGGCUAACUCCGUGCCAGCAGCCGCGGUAAUACGGAGGGAGCUAGCGUUGUUCGGAAUUACUGGGCGUAAAGAGUACGUAGGCGGUUAUUCAAGUCAGAGGUGAAAGCCUGGAGCUCAACUCCAGAACUGCCUUUGAAACUAGAUAACUUGAAUCACGGAGAGGUUAGUGGAAUUCCGAGUGUAGAGGUGAAAUUCGUAGAUAUUCGGAAGAACACCAGUGGCGAAGGCGACUAACUGGCGGUAUUGACGCUGAGGUACGAAAGCGUGGGGAGCAAACAGGAUUAGAUACCCUAGUAGUC
RNAcentral lists this ribosomal RNA (431 nucleotides) under uncultured bacterium. RNAcentral's name for it is "partial 16S ribosomal RNA". It matches the Rfam family "Bacterial small subunit ribosomal RNA", at positions 338 to 795 of the family's 1533-position model. The record is from RNAcentral.